This 252-nucleotide ribosomal RNA is filed under the name uncultured bacterium. RNAcentral describes it as "partial 16S ribosomal RNA". It matches the Rfam family "Bacterial small subunit ribosomal RNA", at positions 524 to 776 of the family's 1533-position model. The record is from RNAcentral.
UACGUAGGUCCCGAGCGUUGUCCGGAUUUAUUGGGCGUAAAGCGAGCGCAGGUGGUUUAUUAAGUCUGGUGUAAAAGGCAGUGGCUCAACCAUUGUAUGCAUUGGAAACUGGUAGACUUGAGUGCAGGAGAGGAGAGUGGAAUUCCAUGUGUAGCGGUGAAAUGCGUAGAUAUAUGGAGGAACACCGGUGGCGAAGGCAGCGCACCGGCGCCCUACUGACGCUCAGGCACGAAAGCGUGGGUAUCGAACAGG